UUUGUACUCCCUUCGUCCCAAAAUUCUUGUCUUAAAUUUGUCUAAAUACGGAUGUAUCUAGUUACAUUUUAGUGUUAGAUACAUCCGUAUCUAAACAAAUGUAAGACAAGAAUUUUGGGACGGAGGGAAUACUCC
Non-coding RNA from Triticum aestivum (bread wheat), 135 nucleotides. NCBI's taxonomy places the organism in Eukaryota, Viridiplantae, Streptophyta, Magnoliopsida, Poales, Poaceae. The record is from Rfam.